Molecule: transfer RNA, 75 nt
Filed under: Candidatus Cloacimonadota bacterium
Lineage: Bacteria; Pseudomonadati; Candidatus Cloacimonadota
Also listed under: 2 other names
Description: tRNA-Cys
Rfam family: tRNA
About the family: Transfer RNA (tRNA) molecules are approximately 80 nucleotides in length. Their secondary structure includes four short double-helical elements and three loops (D, anti-codon, and T loops). Further hydrogen bonds mediate the characteristic L-shaped molecular structure. tRNAs have two regions of fundamental functional importance: the anti-codon, which is responsible for specific mRNA codon recognition, and the 3' end, to which the tRNAs corresponding amino acid is attached (by aminoacyl-tRNA synthetases). tRNAs cope with the degeneracy of the genetic code in two manners: having more than one tRNA (with a specific anti-codon) for a particular amino acid; and 'wobble' base-pairing, i.e. permitting non-standard base-pairing at the 3rd anti-codon position.
Source: RNAcentral
GGCGACAUAGCCAAGCGGUAAGGCGAGGGUCUGCAAAAUCCUUAUUCCCCGGUUCAAAUCCGGGUGUCGCCUCCA